GAAUUGCUGCAGUGGAAGGCAGAGAAUGCUGUGCCUGACAAAGGAUCUGAGAAGCUACUGAAAAUAUUGAAGAAGAAGCUUCCAAAGGAUAACGAAUUGCCCGACAGUACAUAUGCAGCAAAGAAGGUCAUAUUCCCUCUAGGAUUGGAGGUGCAGAAGAUACAUGCAUGCCCUAAUGACUGCAUCCUCUACCGCGGUGCGUAUAAGGAUCUGAACGCAUGCCCAGUAUGCGGUGCGUUACGGUAUAAGAUCAGACGAGAUGACCCUGGUGAUGUUGAUGGCGAGCCCCCCAGGAAGAGGGUUCCUUCAAAGGUGAUGUGGUAUGCUCCUAUAAUACCACGGUUCAAACGUCUGUUCAGAAACGGAGAGCAUGCCAAGUUGAUGCGAUGGCACAGUGAGGACCGUAAGAAAGACGAGAAGUUGAGAGCACCCGCUGACGGGUCGCAGUGGAGAAAAAUCGAGAGAAAGUACUGGGAUGAGUUUGCAAGUGACCCAAGGAACGUAUGGUUUGCUUUAAGCGCAGAUGGCAUUAAUCCUUUCGGGGAGCAGAGCAGCAAUCACAACACCUGGCCCGUGACUCUAUGUAUGUAUAACCUUCCUCCUUGGAUGUGCAUGAAGCGGAAGUUCAUUAUGAUGUCAGUUCUCAUUCAAGGUCCUAAGCAACCCGGCAACGACAUUGAUGUGUACCUA
This 690-nucleotide ribosomal RNA is filed under the name Triticum aestivum (bread wheat). RNAcentral describes it as "partial small subunit ribosomal RNA". Lineage: Eukaryota; Viridiplantae; Streptophyta; Magnoliopsida; Poales; Poaceae. The record is from RNAcentral.